CGCACUCCUACGGGAGGCAGCAGUGGGGAAUAUUGCACAAUGGGCGCAAGCCUGAUGCUAGCCAUGCCGCGUGUAUGAAGAAGGCCUUCGGGUUGUAAAGUACUUUCAGCAGUGAGGAAGGUGGGUAUGUUAAUAGCAUAUUCAUUUGACGUUAGCUGCAGAAGAAGCACCGGCUAACUCCGUGCCAGCAGCCGCGGUAAUACGGAGGGUGCGAGCGUUAAUCGGAAUUACUGGGCGUAAAGCGCAUGCAGGUGGUUUGUUAAGUCAGAUGUGAAAGCCCGGGGCUCAACCUCGGAAUUGCAUUUGAAACUGGCAAACUAGAGUACUGUAGAGGGGGUAGAAUUUCAGGUGUAGCGGUGAAAUGCGUAGAGAUCUGAAGGAAUACCGGUGGCGAAGGCGGCCCCCUGGACAGAUACUGACACUCAGAUGCGAAAGCGUGGGGAGCAAACAGGAUUAGAUACCCUGGUAG
Molecule: ribosomal RNA, 469 nt
Filed under: uncultured bacterium
Lineage: Bacteria
Description: bacterial SSU rRNA
Rfam family: Bacterial small subunit ribosomal RNA
Source: RNAcentral